CUCUCCUCACCCCCACUCAGCUCCUCUUACUCUCCUGGAGGGGCAGGCAGGGCUCACUGAGGACCCGCUCUCCCUCCAAGCUCCCGCUGUACCUCCCAUUCAGCACUUUCAAUGGGGACCAAGGGAGAGAAUGAGAGUCAGGGGCUGGUUUCAGCCAGCGAGCAGCAGGCAGAGAGAGAAAAACUGGCAAAGAAGUUUGCUUGUGCUGGGUCCCAGCUUUGUCAGCCAGCUGGGCCAGAUGCCACCGUGGAGGCAUCUGUCUCCACACAUCCUGUUUCUGGGGAUUGAUUCGCACAGCUGUCUCUUAGAUGGAAAGGAGGUGGCUGCCAACAUGACCCAGAGCAUCCUUCCAGCCCUACUUUAGGCAGGAUAGCUGAGUGGGAAGAUCCUGGGUUUUCAGUUGGGCAGGGAUUUCAAUCAGAUUCUGACACUCCCUAGAGGUGUCACCUUGGGUAAAUUGCCCAUAGUGCCAGAGAUGUAUAAUAGCGGUAAGAAUGUUUGGUUCAAAUCCCAGUUCUCCUUCCUAGCUGUGUGGCCUCAGACAACUUACCUGAUAUCUCUGAAUCUCAGUUCUCUGAAUCUCUGAAAUGGGGAUCCUACCUGUACUUAUUCUCGUAGGAUUGUUGGGAAGAUUGAGUGACUUAAUGCACAUUCAAGAGUUUAGAACAGUGCCUGGCACCAAGUGUAGUCUCUGACUGUUAUAACCUUCUCUGAGCCUGUAAAAUGGGGUAACCUCACCUACUUCUGGGGUCAUUCUGAAGGACCAAAGAGCUAAUGGAAGUGAAGCACCUAGUCAUAUGCCUGGCACACAAGAGAUGCUCAAAAAUGGCAAUCUUAAUGGAAGUAGGAUUAUAUAGUAUGAGUCCUUAGUCUGAGAACUACCUUGCGUAAUACACUUUAUGUCUCUGAGGCUCAACUUGGACACCUGUAAAAUGGGGCUGAACAUUGGGAGCCCACCUGCAUCACUGUCUUACUAAGAGACUGGUUCAAUGAGAUGGAAACAACCUAUGCUCCUCAUCAACAGGAUAUUCCCUCAAGAUUGAAGACGAACAAGAAAAGAGGAAUUUAUACCAGUCAACACAAGGUUGACAUAAGGGAAGCCAUAUUGUAAAAAAGAAG
RNAcentral lists this long non-coding RNA (1119 nucleotides) under Equus caballus (horse). RNAcentral's name for it is "lncRNA (ENSECAG00000050396.1)". The record is from RNAcentral. Lineage: Eukaryota; Metazoa; Chordata; Mammalia; Perissodactyla; Equidae.